RNAcentral lists this long non-coding RNA (693 nucleotides) under Lathyrus oleraceus (garden pea). Its description in RNAcentral is "Pisum sativum (pea) long non-coding RNA (PSAT_LNC033570)". The record is from RNAcentral. Lineage: Eukaryota; Viridiplantae; Streptophyta; Magnoliopsida; Fabales; Fabaceae.
AAGCCCAAGAGUAAGCUAUGUGAGGUUGAUGGCGAUGCUUAAAAGCAAUCAACUUACAAGGGUAUGAAAAUGGACUCGACAUUAAAUCGAGAAAAGUGUGAUUUUAAUAGUUUUAAAAUGGUUUUGAAUGAAUGAUGAAAUUAAAAGAAAGCAGAUCAACCAUGAGUAUAAUAAAACAUAAACAUAAAAAAUGCUAAAAGAAAUAAAAUGCUAAAAGAAAAUAAAAUGCCAAAAAAUGAAUGAUGAAAUUAAAAGAAAGCAGAUCAACCAUGAGUAUAAUAAAACAUAAACAUAAAAAAUGCUAAAAGAAAUAAAAUGCUAAAAGAAAAUAAAAUGCCAAAGGAAAAAAAAUGCUACAUAUCAGUAUUGAACCCUCUCCACUUAAGAUCAUGAAACUACCCUCUCUCCACUAGGCCAUUUAUGACUAGUUGUUAUUUUGAUGCUAGAUUGGAUAAAUAAACUAAAAUGGAUUAAAAAUCAGAAUUAAAAUAACAAAACUAAUAAAAGAGAAAACUGUUGGACUAACCUAAUUAAACCCAGCCGCCUGGCUGUUGGGUUUUUCAAUGGGGGUAUAAAUUGAAAAUAUAAAAAAAACAUUUAUUAACUAAUACCUAGGAAAAUUAAAUGAAUUUUAAUAGUUUUUAAAAAAUGACUUAUUCUAUCUAAAAUAAAUUAGAGAAAAAAAUGAAAAAA